AACGAACGUUGGCGGCGUGGAUGAGGCAUGCAAGUCGAGCGAGAAAGCACCUUCGGGUGUGAGUACAGCGGCGGACGGGUGAGUAACACGUAAUCAAGCUGCCCUCGAGACUGGGAUAACAGGGGGAAACUCUUGCUAAUACCGGAUGGUCUUGUUGGUUCGCAUGGACCGGCAAGUAAAGGUGGGGAUCCUACGGGACCUGCCGUUCGAGGAGGCGAUUGCGGCCUAUCAGCUAGUUGGCGGGGUAACGGCCCACCAAGCCGACGAUCUGUAGCUGGUCUGAGAGGACGACCAGCCACACUGGGACUGAGACACGGCCCAGACUCCUACGGGAGGCAGCAGUGGGGAAUUUUGGACAAUGGGCGCAAGCCUGAUCCAGCAAUGCCGCGUGCAGGACGAAGGCC
RNAcentral lists this ribosomal RNA (404 nucleotides) under uncultured bacterium. RNAcentral's name for it is "bacterial SSU rRNA". It matches the Rfam family "Bacterial small subunit ribosomal RNA", at positions 29 to 416 of the family's 1533-position model. The record is from RNAcentral.